Molecule: long non-coding RNA, 1349 nt
Filed under: Drosophila melanogaster (fruit fly)
Lineage: Eukaryota; Metazoa; Arthropoda; Insecta; Diptera; Drosophilidae
Description: long non-coding RNA:CR43417 (Dmel_CR43417)
Source: RNAcentral
CAACAGGUGCUUUCCGAACAGCGCUUAUUAACUCAUUAUAAAAGCAUUUUCAGAGCAGUUCGAUUUGCUUUUGCUGCAAAGCAUUUCAAUUGCCUCCGACACUCGCACUCGCAUUUCGAAAUGCGUGCUCGGUCGCUGGUGCUUUUGCUUUGCUUUUGCUGUGCUUUUGCCGAUCUUGCUGCCGUGUCCGGCUGCUGCGACCUUCAAUUGCUCUGGCAGCGGAAAGGGUGACUCAAGCGAACAAGUGGCAAAUAACAGGAAACUGCUUCUUGCUCCUUUGCCGCAAACGAACACUUUGUGCAAUGCAAAUUUAAUUUGCUAAAUGAUUUUGCCGGGACCGGGCGGAUAUCUGGGAAACUUGUUUUGCUGGAGUGUGUUUCUAUAUGUGCAAUGGCGGCAUUUCCACGCUUGUGCGGCAGAUGCAAAUGUCACCAAAGUCAGCCCAGUCAUCGUGGAUGGGCGUGGAAUGAGCUGCACUUGGUCUGUAACGGAAGGUGCAGCAGGCCUUCGACAAAAAUCCGUUGCAUAUUCCAAUGAAAAUUCCUGGGGAAAUUCAAUCCUGCCGGUUUCUAUAACGAAUUGAUACUUCCGCAGCUGAAUUGAAAAAAGUGCCCAAAUCAAAUCGUUCCCACCAACAUUCCCAGACCCAAAACUGCGGUAUAUGGCAUAUUUCUUUCUAAGUAGGGCUAUCGAGGUUUCGCACACUAUGACCGUGGAGCGAUAUAGCGAUAUGCGAUACAUUUGUCAUACUCCACUCCAUAUGCCGUGAGUCGAGAAACUGCCGAGAUCAGCUGAUUUUCCGGGGUCCCAACAUGAAUAUGAAUGGGGAGAAUUUGAUAUGAUACUUUGCCUUUAAUUACUUCACUUGAAAGUUGGCCAUUGUACGUCAAUUGAGUCAUCAUCAUUAUCCGUGCACCCGAGUCCAAAAGCCCGAUAAUAAAUAACAAAAGCAUUUGGGGGCUGCGCUGCGGUUAUUGGAUACACAAGCGGAUAUACAACACUCCCCAUCAGAACUUUGGAAACGGGAAUGGGGGCCUGGGCAGGAACUGGGCUGCCCGACAAAUGUUUCUCAUAAACCACAAUUUGAUAUCUGCAAACAGAACUUGAGAACUUGAACUUGAACGGCGAUGCAAAUGCGAGAAAAAGUUUCUUAUCAGCAUUAUGCGUUUUACAAGAAGUAAGCAAUAUUAUUCCAACCUAAUAGCGAUCAAAUAAACGGACAAUGUGAAGGGGAUUUCCAGUGUUUGCUCUCUAUCGUUCAAAUAUUUAGGCCAAUAAAACAAAAGCUGUGCAAUCUAUUUAGAUAUAUUUACAUAAUUAAAAUAGGUAAAUAAAUAAAUUGAAUGUAU